RNAcentral lists this ribosomal RNA (449 nucleotides) under uncultured bacterium. RNAcentral's name for it is "bacterial SSU rRNA". It matches the Rfam family "Bacterial small subunit ribosomal RNA", at positions 354 to 796 of the family's 1533-position model. The record is from RNAcentral.
GUCGAGGAUUUUUCUCAAUGGGGGAAACCCUGAAGGAGCGACGCCGCGUGGGGGAUGAAGGUCUUCGGAUUGUAAACCCCUGUCAUCUGGGAUCAAUGCGUACCACCUAACACGUGGUACGUUGCUAGUACCAGAAGAGGAAGCAGUGGCUAACUCUGUGCCAGCAGCCGCGGUAAUACAGAGACUGCAAGCGUUGUUCGGAUUCAUUGGGCGUAAAGGGUGCGCAGGCGGUGCGGUAAGUCGGAUGUGAAAUCUCGAGGCUUAACCUCGAUGGGUCAUUCGAAACUACCGUGCUCGAGGACUGGAGAGGAGACUGGAAUGGUUGGUGUAGCAGUGAAAUGCGUAGAGAUCAACCAGAACACCAGUGGCGAAGGCGGGUCUCUGGACAGUUCCUGACGCUGAGGCACGAAAGCCAGGGGAGCAAACGGGAUUAGAUACCCCUGUAGUCC